AACGAGACCUUCGGGUCUAGUGGCGCACGGGUGCGUAACGCGUGGGAACCUGCCUUUAGGUUCGGAAUAACUCAGAGAAAUUUGAGCUAAUACCGGAUAAUGUCUUCGGACCAAAGAUUUAUCGCCUUUAGAUGGGCCCGCGUUGGAUUAGCUAGUUGGUGGGGUAAAGGCCUACCAAGGCGACGAUCCAUAGCUGGUCUGAGAGGAUGAUCAGCCACACUGGGACUGAGACACGGCCCAGACUCCUACGGGAGGCAGCAGUGGGGAAUAUUGGACAAUGGGCGAAAGCCUGAUCCAGCAAUGCCGCGUGAGUGAUGAAGGCCUUAGGGUUGUAAAGCUCUUUUACCCGAGAUGAUAAUGACAGUAUCGGGAGAAUAAGCUCCGGCUAACUCCGUGCCAGCAGCCGCGGUAAUACGGAGGGAGCUAGCGUUGUUCGGAAUUACUGGGCGUAAAGCGCACGUAGGCGGCUUUUUAAGUCAGGGGUGAAAUCCCGGGGCUCAACCCCGGAACUGCCUUUGAAACUGGAGAGCUAGAAUCUUGGAGAGGCGAGUGGAAUUCCGAGUGUAGAGGUGAAAUUCGUAGAUAUUCGGAAGAACACCAGUGGCGAAGGCGACUCG
This 617-nucleotide ribosomal RNA is filed under the name Erythrobacter donghaensis. RNAcentral's name for it is "bacterial SSU rRNA". It matches the Rfam family "Bacterial small subunit ribosomal RNA", at positions 65 to 728 of the family's 1533-position model. Lineage: Bacteria; Pseudomonadati; Pseudomonadota; Alphaproteobacteria; Sphingomonadales; Erythrobacteraceae. The record is from RNAcentral.